GCAAACUUGGUCAUUUAGAGGAAGUAAAAGUCGUAACAAGGUUUCCGUAGGUAAGUGGAAACUUUUCUAUCUUAUACCCCCUAUAGCCCAUAGUUUUUCAUAAUGUGCUGACUUUUCUCUUUUAGGUGAACCUGCGGAAGGAUCAUUAUAGAGUGGUAAACCCCCUAUAAAAAGGGGGGGACCCCCCGUCCUUUGCAGGCCCUUUUUUAAGGGGCUUUUUUGACUUUCUGCUUCGGUGGGAUUAUCCCACCGGAACAACCUCAAAACUCUGAAAAAACCUUUCUGUCUGAGAACCUUUUUUAUAAUAAAAAAAACUUUCAACAACGGAUCUCUUGGUUCUGGCAUCGAUGAAGAACGCAGC
RNAcentral lists this unclassified non-coding RNA (361 nucleotides) under uncultured fungus. Its description in RNAcentral is "partial contains small subunit ribosomal RNA, internal transcribed spacer 1, and 5.8S ribosomal RNA". The stretch from base 1 to 148 matches the Rfam family "Eukaryotic small subunit ribosomal RNA", at positions 1759 to 1831 of the family's 1831-position model. Lineage: Eukaryota; Fungi. The record is from RNAcentral.